Molecule: non-coding RNA, 239 nt
Filed under: Enterococcus sp.
Lineage: Bacteria; Bacillati; Bacillota; Bacilli; Lactobacillales; Enterococcaceae
Description: T-box sequence
Rfam family: T-box leader
About the family: Uncharged tRNA acts as the effector for transcription antitermination of genes in the T-box leader family.
Source: RNAcentral
GAAAGAACGAUGAUCAGAAUAGUAAGUGAAGAGAUUUGUAUGAGAGAGUUUCCGGUUGCUGAGAGGAAAUAACGAAUCGUCAUUGAACACGCCUGUAAGUUGUUUUUCUGAAAUAUUGAUAGUAGGAAAAAUCGGAGAGUCCGUUAUCACUCCUUAGUUUGUAUGACUAACAGAGGUUUUUGCUGUGAAGUAAAAACAAAUCUGAGGUGGGACCACGUGAAAAAUUUCUCGUCCUCUUG